CUACGGGUGGCAGCAGUGAGGAAUAUUGCACAAUGGGGGGAACCCUGAUGCAGCAAUGCCGCGUGGAGGAUGACGCAUUUCGGUGUGUAAACUCCUUUCAUAUGUCAAGAAGAUGACGGUAGCAUAUGAAUAAGCACCGGCUAACUCCGUGCCAGGCAGCCGCGGUAAUACGGAGGGUGCAAGCGUUACUCGGAAUCACUGGGCGUAAAGGACGCGUAGGCGGGUUGGUAAGUCAGGUGUGAAAUCCUACGGCUUAACUGUAGAACUGCACUUGAAACUUCUAAUCUUGAGUAUGGGAGGGGGAGAUGGAAUUAGUGGUGUAGGGGUAAAAUCCGUAGAUAUCACUAGGAAUACCUAAAGCGAAGGCGAUCUCCUGGAACAUUACUGACGCUAAGGCGUGAAAGCGUGGGGAGCAAACAGGAUUAGAUACCCUUGUAGUC
RNAcentral lists this ribosomal RNA (440 nucleotides) under uncultured bacterium. Its description in RNAcentral is "partial 16S ribosomal RNA". It matches the Rfam family "Bacterial small subunit ribosomal RNA", at positions 339 to 795 of the family's 1533-position model. The record is from RNAcentral.